GGCUCAUUCAAACCAUAGCAAUAGGGUAUGGGGAACACCCUAGUCCCAAAAUACAUUCUCUUCAUGACCUGCAGGCCCAUCAUGAUCUGAAGGCAGCGGUGGUUGCUGAUGGAGGAUGUGAGCUUUGGAACUGGAUCUCUUUGAUUCAAAGCUCUGCCGCUUACUCACUGGAUAAGACCAUGAUCAAGUUAUUUCAUCUGAAAAAUUGAGUUGACCGCAGGUAACUGAAACUGCGGAAAGUGAAACCGCAGAUAAGAGGGACCACUGUAAAUAAGUGACAUGAAUGAUACUGCAAAGGACCAUAGCCUAACCGGCCAAGCAAACUGGAAGUACCUUUAGACUCACGCUUUGCCAAGCUCUGUUCCAGAAUCACAUGAUGAAAAGAAUGAUGGAAAGAAAAUGUUUGUGAUAUUAAAAUUAAGGAAAUUACUCCAAC
Gorilla gorilla gorilla (western lowland gorilla) is the source of this 436-nucleotide long non-coding RNA. RefSeq lists it as uncharacterized. NCBI's taxonomy places the organism in Eukaryota, Metazoa, Chordata, Mammalia, Primates, Hominidae. The record is from RefSeq and is a predicted model, not a curated record. The transcript is spliced from 3 exons.